UACGGGGGGGGGCAAGCGUUGUUCGGAAUUACUGGGCGUAAAGGGUUUGUAGGUGGCUUGCUAAGUCAGACGUGAAAUCCCUCAGCUUAACUGGGGAACUGCGUCUGAGACUGGCAAGCUCGAGUGCAGGAGAGGAACGCGGAAUUCCAGGUGUAGCGGUGAAAUGCGUAGAUAUCUGGAGGAACACCGGUGGCGAAGGCGGCGUUCUGGACUGCAACUGACACUGAAAAACGAAAGCCAGGGGAGCAAACGGG
Molecule: ribosomal RNA, 254 nt
Filed under: uncultured bacterium
Lineage: Bacteria
Description: partial 16S ribosomal RNA
Rfam family: Bacterial small subunit ribosomal RNA
Source: RNAcentral